RNAcentral lists this unclassified non-coding RNA (331 nucleotides) under Hevea brasiliensis (rubber tree). The record is from RNAcentral. Lineage: Eukaryota; Viridiplantae; Streptophyta; Magnoliopsida; Malpighiales; Euphorbiaceae.
UUUGGUUGUUCCUUAGUCGUUGACGAUGCUUGGCUUCAAUCUUAGUUUAGCUUUUAAUGUGGCAAGCAACGGAGGAAGAUGGCAGCGGAUGCUCUAUUAAUGGGUCCUAAUUAUAGUCCUAGGAUUUCUAGGAUGGGAGUGGUUUGAUUUGGGAUUUGGCUUAUGGUUUGCGUCUUCGGCUAGUUCAGUUUAAUUUGGGUAGAUGGGCUUGUAGUUAGCCCCAUAAUUGGUGGUUUUUUUCCCCAUUUUUUUUUUAAAAAUAUUUGUCCAAACCCAAAUUGUAACUUUGCCCUUUUUCUUUUUAAAUGCAAGAUAUGCAACAAACUUUGUG